This 253-nucleotide ribosomal RNA is filed under the name uncultured bacterium. Its description in RNAcentral is "partial 16S ribosomal RNA". It matches the Rfam family "Bacterial small subunit ribosomal RNA", at positions 524 to 776 of the family's 1533-position model. The record is from RNAcentral.
UACGUAGGGUGCAAGCGUUAUCCGGAAUUAUUGGGCGUAAAGAGCUCGUAGGCGGUUUGUCGCGUCUGCUGUGAAAACCCGAGGCUCAACCUCGGGCCUGCAGUGGGUACGGGCAGACUAGAGUGCGGUAGGGGAGAUUGGAAUUCCUGGUGUAGCGGUGGAAUGCGCAGAUAUCAGGAGGAACACCGAUGGCGAAGGCGGGUCUCUGGGCAUCUCCUGACGCUGAGGCGCGAAAGCGUGGGGAGCAAACGGG